This is a non-coding RNA of Epinephelus lanceolatus (giant grouper), 806 nucleotides long. Lineage: Eukaryota; Metazoa; Chordata; Actinopteri; Perciformes; Serranidae. The record is from RefSeq and is a predicted model, not a curated record.
CAAAACCAUAAUUACCAGAAAGUGUUGCACAUCAGAGCUCUGCAACACCCAACCUGCCCCCGAGCCCAGCAAAUCCAAUCCAAACGGCAAAAAGUGCUUCACCUGUGAUGGACAAUCAUGCACCGCAACUCUGAACUGUGACGGGGAUGAGGACUACUGCAUCUCAUCAAAAGUGAAUGUAGGAAAUGACAAGGUGACCGUGAAAGGCUGUGCCUCCAAGUUGGUCUGCUCAAAUACACUGUCUGAACAGAUAUCAGGGGCCAUUGGAGCAGAAGUUAGCUGCUGUCAGGGGAACUUCUGCAACAGUGCCAGCAGCACGAGUGCUGGACUUCUGCUCCUGCUGACACCACUGGUCUCUUUGGUCGUGUUUUCUUAAGUGGUGGAGAUGGCAGCAUCACUGCAGCACAUGGCAAACAGCUUUUCUUCUCAUCUUCACAUGGCCUCAUAGUGCUUACACACCCUUGGCCUUAUCUUUCUACCUGAUGAGUGAGACAGUUUAGCAAACAAAGCAUAAAAUAUAACUUAGUGAAGUUGUGAUUUUUAUUGGUGUCUUGCCUCAAACAGUUUCUAGCCAUGUUGCCUGUGGAGACAAUUGCAACUGUCUUGCACAGAAUAACUGUCUACAAUAGCUUUUAUUUUUAUUUUAAAGUAAAACAAGUAAAAUGUGAAAAACACGUUGAAGCAUAAUGUUUGUUCUGAGUGCUGUGCUUAACCUGAAACAUAUUUUUAAUUUCAUUUAUCAAAAUCAUUCUUUUGAUACUGAUAAAAUGCUCAAUAAAUAAUACAUUUCUUAUCUUUGCUGUGUA